Molecule: ribosomal RNA, 619 nt
Filed under: uncultured bacterium
Lineage: Bacteria
Description: bacterial SSU rRNA
Rfam family: Bacterial small subunit ribosomal RNA
Source: RNAcentral
GAUGAACGCUAGCGGCAGGCCUAACACAUGCAAGUCGAGGGGCAGCAUUUCUUUUCGGAGAAGAUGGCGACCGGCGCACGGGUGCGUAACGCGUAUGCAACCUACCCUUUACUGGAGGAUAGCCCGGAGAAAUUCGGAUUAAUACUUCAUGGCACUAUAAUAUGGCAUCAUAUAAUAGUUAAAGAUUUAUUGGUAAAGGAUGGGCAUGCGUGACAUUAGCUAGUUGGUGAGGUAAAGGCUCACCAAGGCAACGAUGUCUAGGGGUUCUGAGAGGAUGAUCCCCCACACUGGUACUGAGAUACGGACCAGACUCCUACGGGAGGCAGCAGUAGGGAAUAUUGGUCAAUGGGCGAGGGCCUGAACCAGCCAUGCCGCGUGCAGGAAGACGGCCUUCUGGGUUGUAAACUGCUUUUAUCAGGGAACAAAAAGGCCAUGCGUGGCAAACUGAGUGUACCUGAAGAAUAAGCACCGGCUAACUCCGUGCCAGCAGCCGCGGUAAUACGGAGGGUGCAAGCGUUGUCCGGAUUUAUUGGGUUUAAAGGGUGCGUAGGCGGUCGAUUAAUGUCAGUGGUGAAAUCCUACAGCUCAAUCUGUAGAACUGCCAUUGAUACUGGUUGAC